Strigops habroptila (Kakapo) is the source of this 2862-nucleotide long non-coding RNA. RefSeq lists it as uncharacterized. The transcript has 3 exons. The record is from RefSeq and is a predicted model, not a curated record. Lineage: Eukaryota; Metazoa; Chordata; Aves; Psittaciformes; Psittacidae.
UUCAACAUGGAAUCAUGGAAUGGGUUGAGUUGGAACCUUCAAGCUCCUCCAGGUCCAACAGGGUUUUGGAGCUCUUCUACUAGAGGAGCUUGCUCUUUGAAGGUCCAUCUUCUCCAGCCAACCCAUCCUUAUGUCCCACCACCUUCAUGGGGCAGAACUUCCCAAUAUCCCAUCUCCAUGUCCCCUUGUGUCAUGGUCAAGCCAUUCCCAUUGUCCCACCUCGCCAUGGCCGUGGCCAAAAGCCAUCUCCAAGCUUUCUUGGAAGCCUUGGAGCUGCUCUAAGUUCUCCUCAAGAGCUUCUCCUCACCAAGUCCUUCUCCUUAAGGAUGCUCCAUCCCAUCUUCCCCACUUCACCCAUGGAUCUCCAUGAGCUUCCCAUGGUGCCACCUCUCCGAGGUGGAGCAAGAAGAUUCCAGCUUCUCCUGGGAUUUACCUGGAAUUCCCUUUCUCUUCCCCAAAAUCCCUCAGGAAAACCUUAAUCCUGCCUUUCCAGGCAGGGAAUGGAAGUUCUCCUCCAUAAAGGUGGUGGGACAUGGCCAUGGGUGGGCUGGAGGAAGUGGGGCUGCCCCAUGGAGCAACUUGCUCCAGCGGAAGGUGACCCUGGUGGAAGUGGUUGGAGCUUGAAGGUCCUUCCCAAGCCAAAUCAUUCCAAGAUUCCAUAGAAAUCCCAGCCCCUGCGCUGUGGGUCCCCCCAUGGCAUGUUCCUUCUGGAGCUUCUCCUCCACCCAGGAGAAGACCUUCUUGUUGGCCCCUCAACCUCCAGGCUGAGCGUAGCAGCACGGAGAGGAAGCAGCACUUACUCCACUGAGUAAAGCCCGAGGAGAACAUUCCCCUGUGGGUCCCAUCAGCCCUUUAGGACAUGGCCAAGCACAUGAAGAUGACCUGGAGGAACCUAUGGGGCAGCUUCUGCUGCCCGGAGGAAUCCUACUACUAGGAGUAGCCUUGGAUGAGCACGUUUGCCUUCUCCAACCACUUGUCCUGGUUGGAAGCUCAAGGUGGAGCAAGGAAACUCCAUCUUCUCCUGGGAUUUGCUUGGAAUUCCCUUUCUCUUCCCCCCCAAAUCCCCCAUGGAACCCCUAAUCCUCCACUCGCUAUGGGGCCAGCCCCCCAGCAGCACGUCGGGGUUGAACGUUCCCGCUUUCCUUCCACCAGGUUGGAGUUGUCCUGCCUGGAAGAAGCAUCAAAUCAACGUCGACCCUGGUGGAAAGCAGGAUUAGGUGUUACUCCAGGUUGGAUUUAACUCCAAGCUGCUUAAGGAGGAUCUCAGUAGCUUCAGCUCCUUUAGAGGUGGACUUUUGGGUUGUCCAAAGCAGAUCCCGAUGGGACAUGGAAGGAUACAAGUGGUAGAUGCUCCACAACUCCACCAUAAGAAGUCCAUUGCUCUUGAAGAUAACUCCAACAGUGGGAUCAAGCACCACUUCCAGACGUAAGGUUUGGGAAUCCACCACGAGAAGACCUUGAAGACCAUCUAAUCCAAGCAGCACCACCAAGGCCACCACUAAUCCAUGGCACUGAGGGCUUCAUCUCCAUGCUUUGGGAAUGCUUCCAAGGUCGGGACCUCCAGCAUUCCCAAUGCUUGAGCAACCAUGGUUGGGCCAUGGUCUUCUUAGAUGUUCUACCAUGACCUGGCCACCUCAAUAGAGUCAGGUCCCUUCAAAGAGAGGACAUCCAUGUCCUCCAGGGUCACUGGGAUGAGCACCCUCAGCAAGGUUGUGGUGGCACCAAGUCGUCUGCUGAAGAGCUGGGAUCCAGAGGGACCUGCAGUGGUGGCACCAUAGGAACCUCAUGGAGUUCCACCACUCCAAGGGCAAGGUCCUGCCAUCCCAGCACCAACGUAGGUUGGGGGAGAUGGGAUGGAGAAAGACUUGGAGGUGUUGGCUAAGGAGAAGCUCCUCCUGACCUUCUCCUUUCGAGCCAUUCCAGUGUCCCACCACCCUCAUGGUGAAGAACUUCAUCUACGAUGCCACCUCCAUGGGUCCUUCUGGUAGGUUCAAGCCAUUCCCAAGGUCCCAUCCCUCUAUUCCCAUAUCCAAAGCUCCUCUUCCAGGUCUCUUGGAAUGGUGACGAGAAGGUCGGAGUCUACACCAGGAGUAACUCUGAAGGUCCCUUGGGGCUCAAUCACCCUUUGAGCUUGAAGGACCCAUAGGUUGGGUCCUUUCAGGUCCUUGAGGUGAUGGGGAGGAGAUGAGGUCCACCAUCCCUUCACCUGUGGUCACCUCCAGGUUUUCCCUAUGGGAACAAGAUGCUUCCUCCUACUACUACGUGUAGGUUCACACCUUGAGUAUCCAAGGAGCUGGAGAGGCUCCCUCAAGCCUUAGGAGGCAUCUCAAGAGGGGUCUCCAUGAAGGUCUUCAUCAGCCACAUGGCCAGUAUGGAGCAAAGCCCAGGAGAAGAAGGUAUCUACACAAGGUGGAACCUCCGUGAGGUCCCUCUACACCAGGGUGCUGGUAAGACCUUGUGUAAAACCCCAAAAAGCUGGUUGAAGGCAACGUCAAGCCUUACACCAGCUUUACUCCGUGGAGUUGCUUGCCCUUAAUGUCCAAGGGGAUUAAGGAAGAGCUUCUCCAAGGGCAAAAGAGGGAGGAAACAAGGAGUUGGCUUCAAGUCCUCGCUGGAGUAAGCUCCUACUACUCCUUCCUACUCAAGGAGAACAAGGCCGAGCACGUAGUUGCUUACGUCGUGGUGUAACUAAUGCAAACAGACUUAGACCCAAGCCAGCUCCGUUGUCCUCCUACCCUCAAGGUCUCUCUUGGAGUAGUGAGGCUAGAAAUGGAGGUGGAACCUCACCCGUACCUACUACAAGGGGGACAAUCCCUGCCUCCGUCCUGCUUGUAGCAUUAAACACCUACUCCUAAGGAUCGA